CCCUGGUUAGCUUAGUUGGUAGAGCGCUCCACCUAUAAUGGAGAGGUCCCGGGUUCGAUACCCGGACCAGGCG
RNAcentral lists this transfer RNA (73 nucleotides) under Ixodes scapularis (black-legged tick). RNAcentral describes it as "tRNA-Ile". It matches the Rfam family "tRNA". Rfam says of the family: Transfer RNA (tRNA) molecules are approximately 80 nucleotides in length. Lineage: Eukaryota; Metazoa; Arthropoda; Arachnida; Ixodida; Ixodidae. The record is from RNAcentral.